Molecule: non-coding RNA, 31 nt
Filed under: Rattus norvegicus (Norway rat)
Lineage: Eukaryota; Metazoa; Chordata; Mammalia; Rodentia; Muridae
Source: RNAcentral
UGGAUUUCUUCUAGAAUCCUUUCUAAUUGUC